AAAAAAGCGAAAAACUGUACAUCGUUUAGCUGCCGGAGAGUGGGGGUGAGACGUAAAAUAUGUGGUGGUUUCGGAACGCAUUACGUAAUAGUUCAUCAACACGGGAAACGUGCUUAACCUAUUUUUAAUUUAUUUAUCAGAUUUGUUUAUGCCUAAUACCUGGCUACAUUUCACGUGCAAAAAUAUAGAUGCUUGAUGUCAUUAAUGUCAUUAAGAGGUAGAAAAGCAGUGGAAUACCUCAUGCACUUCCAAGGUUGGAAUCUGUCUUGGGACAAACGCUAAAAGAGAAGCUGUAAGAUGUCAAAGCGCUUAAUCGAAACGAAACAGAGCAUCAAGAACCUCGUCGUAGAGCGAGAAGCAGUGGCAGUCGAGCUGCAUCAUCUACAACCGGAAUUUCCGAAGAUGGCAGUUCAGGCCAACACGCUGAUUAUUAUACAAAAAUCGAGGACUGCGAAAGUAAGAAAAGUUUAUAAGAAUUACAUUUGUAAUUUAUAGGACAUAAACAUAGAAAAGGAUACAGAGAGUAGUUCUGAUUACAUGGGUGAAACAAGUGACGAUGAACACAGUGGGUGGUGGUAGCCAAUCUGGAGCCAGUAUGAAACCAGGCGAUGAUCUUGAUACAGAUAGCACAUUAAAACGGAUUCUAGAGCAGGAUUAUGACCUAAUGAGUAAUAAGAACAAGGUA
Temnothorax curvispinosus is the source of this 685-nucleotide long non-coding RNA. RefSeq lists it as uncharacterized. The record is from RefSeq and is a predicted model, not a curated record. The transcript is spliced from 4 exons. Lineage: Eukaryota; Metazoa; Arthropoda; Insecta; Hymenoptera; Formicidae.